ACCUCUUCGUGGGGAAUAACGCUCCGAAAGGAGUGGUAAUACCGCAUGAGAUCCACGGCUGGGAUGCUGUGGAUGAAAGCUGGGGCUCGUAAGACCUAGCGCGAGGAGAGGGUCCUGCGUCUGAUUAGCUAGUUGGUGGGGUAACGGCUCACCAAGGCGACGAUCAGUAGCCGGCCUGAGAGGGUGAUCGGCCACACUGGAACUGAGACACGGUCCAGACUCCUACGGGAGGCAGCAGUGGGGAAUUUUGCGCAAUGGGCGAAAGCCUGACGCAGCAACGCCGCGUGGGUGAUGAAGGUCUUCGGAUUGUAAAACCCUGUCGUCGGGGACGAAGGUUGGGGGAUGAAUAAUCUUUCAGCUUGACGGUACCCGAAGAGGAAGCCCCGGCUAACUCUGUGCCAGCAGCCGCGGUAAUACAGAGGGGGCAAGCGUUAUUCGGAAUUAUUGGGCGUAAAGGGCGCGUAGGCGGUAAUUUAAGUGAGAUGUGUAAUCCCCGGGCUCAACCUGGGAACUGCAUCUCAGACUGGAUUGCUAGAGUGCUGGAGAGGGUGGUGGAAUUCCUCGUGUAGCGGUGAAAUGCGUAGAGAUGAGGAGGAACACCAGUGGCGAAGGCGGCCACCUGGACAGUAACUGACGCUGAGGCGCGAAAGUGUGGGUAGCAAACAGGAUUAGAUACCCUGGUAGUCC
RNAcentral lists this ribosomal RNA (687 nucleotides) under uncultured bacterium. Its description in RNAcentral is "bacterial SSU rRNA". It matches the Rfam family "Bacterial small subunit ribosomal RNA", at positions 128 to 796 of the family's 1533-position model. The record is from RNAcentral.